Molecule: non-coding RNA, 82 nt
Organism: Ophiocordyceps sinensis CO18
Lineage: Eukaryota; Fungi; Ascomycota; Sordariomycetes; Hypocreales; Ophiocordycipitaceae
Source: Rfam
GAGAGCCGUAUGAUGGGAAACUAUCACGUACGGUUCGGGAAAGGGGGAGUAACUUGGUAAAAGAGUUACUUCUCCAGUUCAU